CCCUAUGGGGCGCAGCAGCGAGAAAACUUUGCAUGUGCGAAGCACGACAAGGUUAAUCCGAGUGGUUUCUGCUAAAGAAACCUUUUGCUAGUCCUAGAAACACUAGUGAAUAAGGGGUGGGCAAGUUCUGGUGUCAGCCGCCGCGGUAAAACCAGCACCUCAAGUGGUCAGGAUGAUUAUUGGGCCUAAAGCAUCCGUAGCUCGUUUUGUAAGUUUUCGGUUAAAUCCAUACGCUUAACGUAUGGGCUGCCGGGAAUACUGCAUAACUAGGAAGUGGGAGAGGUAGACGGUACUCGGUAGGAAGGGGUAAAAUCCUUUGAUCUAUUGAUGACCACCUGUGGCGAAGGCGGUCUACCAGAACACGUUCGACGGUGAGGGAUGAAAGCUGGGGGAGCAAACCGGAUUAGAUACCCGGGUAGUCCCAGCUGUAAACUAUGCAAACUCAGUGAUGCAUUGGCUUGUGGCCAAUGCAGUGCUGCAGGAAGCCGUUAAGUUUGCCGCCUGGGAAGUACGUACGCAAGUAUGAAACUUAA
RNAcentral lists this ribosomal RNA (533 nucleotides) under uncultured crenarchaeote. RNAcentral's name for it is "bacterial SSU rRNA". It matches the Rfam family "Archaeal small subunit ribosomal RNA", at positions 321 to 859 of the family's 1478-position model. The record is from RNAcentral. Lineage: Archaea; Thermoproteati; Thermoproteota.